GAUGAACGCUGGCGGCGUGCCUAAUACAUGCAAGUCGAGCGAACGGACGAGGAGCUUGCUGCUCUGAUGUUAGCGGCGGACGGGUGAGUCACACGUGGAUCACCUACCUAUAAGACUGGUAUAACUACGGAAAACCGGAUCUAAUACCGGAUGAUAUUUUGAACCGCAGGGUGCGAAGGUGAAAGACGGUCUUGCUGUCACUUAUCGAUGGAUCCGCGCUGCAUUAGCUAGUUGGUAAGGUAACGGCUUACCAAGGCAACGAUGCAUAGCCGACCUGUGAGGGUGAUCGGCGGCCCUGGAACGUGGACAGCGUCAUGAGGCCUACGGUAGGCCGCAGUAGGCAAUCGGCCGCAGCGGUGGAGAGCAUUACGCAGCAAGGGGGAGCGAGUGACGAAGGUCUUCGGAGCGUAAUGCUCGGUUUUUAGUGAUGAACAGAUGUGGAAGGAACUGUGGCCAGCUUGACGGUAAUUAAUCAGAAAGCAACGGCUAACUACGUG
RNAcentral lists this ribosomal RNA (497 nucleotides) under uncultured bacterium. RNAcentral describes it as "partial 16S ribosomal RNA". It matches the Rfam family "Bacterial small subunit ribosomal RNA", at positions 28 to 507 of the family's 1533-position model. The record is from RNAcentral.